Molecule: long non-coding RNA, 1284 nt
Organism: Salvia splendens (bonfire salvia)
Lineage: Eukaryota; Viridiplantae; Streptophyta; Magnoliopsida; Lamiales; Lamiaceae
Exons: 2
Source: RefSeq, a predicted model, not a curated record
GGGCCAAUCGGAAGCUGCCACGUCGACGCGCUGUGCUCUUGCCGCUGGCACGGACGUGCUCUAUGCAUAGAGCAGCGCCCUGCCAGCGGCAAGAGCGCAAUGGUGGCGGAGCGCGUCCUUGCCAGCGGCAAGGACGGACGGUGGCAAGGACGGACGGUGAGCUGCUGCUCACAGUUGGGAAUGCUCUUAUGUUAUUCUAUACUAUAAUUUUGACGCUCAUAAUCAUGAUUUUUGAUGCAGAGUAUACUAGUAGUACUAUAUUCCAAACAACAUUGUGUUCCCUUAUCCCAAUCAACAGAGAAGUGGGAACUUUUCACCUUUCAACAUAGUGAGAGAGAGAGAGGGAUAUGAUUAAGAACUGCUUCACCUUCUCCAAUCUCCAGCGACGAGGAGCAAAAUGGCUCCCCCAAACCUUCCCAUUACUGGUGGAGAAGCCCUCAACAAGAUGGCCAUUUCAAAAUCGACUCCAAGAAUCAAGCUUUUGAUUGAAAUGGAGAGAUUGGGAUUGAUAGGCAGUGCUGGGCUGAAUGACUUGAGGCACAAGAUUCUGAGCUACAGAGCUGGGGAUUUCUGCCUCCCAAUUGGUGGGAUAGAGAGAGAGAGAGAGAGAGAGAGAGGAUAUGGAAAUCCCACCUCUCAUCACAAUCUUGCUCACUGGCUUGACUGCCUCUGGCAAAAGCUCUUUCAUCAAUCUCAUGUAUGGUGUUCUUGGUAGAUUUGGCCUCACCCCUUUUGCUCAGACAUCAGGUGAAUCUUCAAAUUUCACCACGAUGUAUCUAGAAGAACACAACGUCUUGAGGUCACCUAGGAGUGGGUUCUGCGUGUACGACACGCGGGGGUAGACCAAAAUCACAUGGAGGAAGGACUCGAGGAGGUCUCAACGUGGAUGACUGAUGGCGUCAGACAUCACCAGCCUUGUAAAAGGGCGGGUGAUGAAAACAUCAAGGGAUUAAUUCAACUUAGUGAAUCAAUGGAGUUCACUAAUUCAAGAUACAUCAAUAGAAAGGUCAAUUUGGUUAUGGUUGUGACUGAUUUAUCAGAGAUUCAUAGAGCAUUCAAAUCUGGUGAUUUGGAGCCAAUUGUGGCCUUGAGAACACUCUUCCAUUUCCCACCAAUCAAGAAUUCAAGUAAGUCUUGAUAUAAUCAUUCUCUAGCUCCUCUUUUACCUUUAUUAUAUGUUCAAAUACAUUUUUAUUAAUUUAGAUAUGCUCCUCUUUUACCUUUAUUAUAUGUUCAAAUACAUUUUUAUUAAUUUAGAUAUGAAGUCUCGUGUAAAAUUUUUAA